GCAGUUCGAGCGAAGCGACGGGAGCUUGCUAUCUAGGUAGCGGCGGACGGGUGAGUAACACGUGGGUAACCUGCCUGUAAGAGUGGGAGAACUCCGGGAAACCGGGGCUAAUACCGGAUGCUUGAUUGAACCGCAUGGUUCAAUUAUAAAAGGUGGCUUUUAGCUACCACUUACAGAUGGACCCGCGGCGCAUUAGCUAGUUGGUGAGGUAACGGCUCACCAAGGCGACGAUGCGUAGCCGACCUGAGAGGGUGAUCGGCCACACUGGGACUGAGACACGGCCCAGACUCCUACGGGAGGCAGCAGUAGGGAAUCUUCCGCAAUGGACGAAAGUCUGACGGAGCAACGCCGCGUGAGUGAUGAAGGUUUUCGGAUCGUAAAACUCUGUUGUUAGGGAAGAACAAGUACCGUUCGAACAGGGCGGUGCCUUGACGGUACCUAACCAGAAAGCCACGGCUAACUACGUGCCAGCAGCCGCGGUAAUACGUAGGUGGCAAGCGUUGUCAGGAAUUAUUGGGCGUAAAGCGCGCGCAGGCGGUUUCUUAAGUCUGAUGUGAAAGCCCCCGGCUCAACCGGGGAGGGUCAUUGGAAACUGGGGAACUUGAGUGCAGAAGAGGAGAGUGGAAUUCCACGUGUAGCGGUGAAAUGCGUAGAGAUGUGGAGGAACACCAGUGGCGAAGGCGACUCUCUGGUCUGUAACUGACGCUGAGGCGCGAAAGCGUGGGGAGCGAACAGGAUUAGAUACCCUGGUAGUCCACGCCGUAAACGAUGAGUGCUAAGUGUUAGAGGGUUUCCGCCCUUUAGUGCUGCAGCAAACGCAUUAAGCACGGUCGUGGGGAUUCAGUUGGGCACUCUAAGGUGACUGCCGGUUAUGACCUGGGCUACACACGUGCUACAAUGGG
RNAcentral lists this ribosomal RNA (902 nucleotides) under Bacillus licheniformis. Its description in RNAcentral is "bacterial SSU rRNA". It matches the Rfam family "Bacterial small subunit ribosomal RNA", at positions 57 to 873 of the family's 1533-position model. The record is from RNAcentral. Lineage: Bacteria; Bacillati; Bacillota; Bacilli; Caryophanales; Bacillaceae.